Molecule: ribosomal RNA, 253 nt
Filed under: uncultured bacterium
Lineage: Bacteria
Description: partial 16S ribosomal RNA
Rfam family: Bacterial small subunit ribosomal RNA
Source: RNAcentral
UACAGAGGGUGCGAGCGUUAAUCGGAAUUACUGGGCGUAAAGCGUGCGUAGGUGGUGAGGUAAGUCGGAUGUGAAAGCUCGGAGCUCAACUCCGAAAUGGCAUUGGAAACUACCUUGCUCGAGGGUUGGAGGGGGGACUGGAAUACUUGGUGUAGCAGUGAAAUGCGUAGAUAUCAAGUGGAACACCAGUGGCGAAGGCGAGUCCCUGGACAACUCCUGACACUGAGGCACGAAAGCUAGGGGAGCAAACAGG